Pelobates cultripes (western spadefoot toad) is the source of this 582-nucleotide non-coding RNA. Lineage: Eukaryota; Metazoa; Chordata; Amphibia; Anura; Pelobatidae. The record is from the annotation of a GenBank genome assembly.
AUAACUUUACAUAUAAUUAUUAACACCUAGUGCCCUACAGACUUAGCUUACAUAAACGGCCUUGCCAAUGAAAGAGACCAAGUGCCUAUGCACCAACUUGCCCACAGGGUUCUGGCCUCCCCCCUCGUCCAAACCAAAUUGCCUUUUCCUUUCAAUGCUUACCACCAGCUGGCUUUUAGCUCGGUGGGCACGUCCAAGUCGGUAACCUAAUAGUUUACCCUACAGAGCAGGGGAGGUUGAGACCCAACCUUGUCCAUAUCCUGACACACCAUGUAAUAGCCCCCAAAAACCUAUUGGCAAGGACACGCCCCCCGUUAGCUGUGUCAUAGACAGUAACAAAUAGAACAGAGGGUGGAUGGGAGGAAAGUUGUUUGCUGGCCCGUCUUCCAAGAGGCACUGAGGUAAGAUGAUCCCUACACCCAGUGGGGUACUAAGGGGGUGCGGUCCACCCCGGGUGCCACUCACUAGGGGGGUGCCCGGGGCAGAUUGCAAUGCCCCUCCUACGCCCAUCGCUAAGACCGGUCUGCAGCUCCGCAAUGUGCAGAGCUGCAGACCGGAAAUGAUGGCCACCGGACCACCAGG